CAAUAGCGUAUAUUUAAGUUGUUGCAGUUAAAAAGCUCGUAGUUGGAUUUCGGUUAAGAGCGACCGGUCCGCCGUUUGGUGUGCACUGGUUGGUUUUAACUUCCUGUAGAGGACGUGCUCUGGGUUUAACGACCUGGACUCGGAGUCUACGUGGUUACUUUGAAAAAAUCAGAGUGUUCAAAGCAAGCGUUCGCUUGAAUACAUUAGCAUGGAAUAAUGAGAUAGGACCUUGGGCCUACUUUGUUGGUUGCGGGCCUAGGUAAUGAUUAAUAGGAUUGGUUGGGGGUAUUCAUAUUUAAUUGUCAGAGGUGAAAUUCUUGGAUUUAUUAAAGAUGAACUACUGCGAAAGCAUUUACCAAGGACACUUNCAUUA
Molecule: ribosomal RNA, 373 nt
Filed under: uncultured eukaryote
Lineage: Eukaryota
Description: partial 18S ribosomal RNA
Rfam family: Eukaryotic small subunit ribosomal RNA
Source: RNAcentral